This 882-nucleotide long non-coding RNA is filed under the name Monodelphis domestica (gray short-tailed opossum). RNAcentral's name for it is "lncRNA (ENSMODG00000037690.1)". Lineage: Eukaryota; Metazoa; Chordata; Mammalia; Didelphimorphia; Didelphidae. The record is from RNAcentral.
GCUCAGCAAAGGGAGGAGAAGUCACUUCUAGAGAACCUCUUCCCAAGUGAGCAAGGAAUCAAGACCAAAGAUGUUAGUGCUCUGGUCCUUGGUUUCCCUUCUAUCCAUCUAUAUUGGAGGUCUCGAUGGUCUGUCCAGUGGCUUAAUUGAUACUGUAAGCUCAUCUGUGCUUGCUGGCGCUCCAACAUGGAUGCAAAAGGUGGCACCUCUCGUGGCUCAACUUCCACCAGAGGCACAAAGCUGGGUAAUGUCACCUGAGGCCUAUGAGAUCAUAUCAACGAUGCCAGACUUGUCAAAGUCACAUGUGUUAUCUGAACUUCCAAAGAUAUCAUCACGCUUGUCUCGACUUAUUCCAAAGAAGGGACUACUUCCAAUGCAUCUUGAAACUCGAGGCCAACGAAAGAAAAAGCUUCCCAAAGAUCCACCUGAAGCAAAAAACCAAAGCUGUGAAGCUUCAGCGUGGAGAUUUUACUCUAUACAGGAAAUGGAUACCGUUAUGAAUGCCUCUCUGAAAAAAAAGACAGAAGAAAUGAUCAAAUGUUCUAAGGUUACGUUGGCAGGACUGAUUGGAGAACUUUUAUGUGGAUUAAUAUCUAAUGGGGGCCUCUCUGGUCUUCCUGACGUGUUAGGCAUGCUUACUAGUGGUCCCCUUUCUGGUUCACCGUUAAACCUACCUGGUACUGACAUACUUGGGGGAAAUUCCAAGUCCCCUCUCGGAGGACUAACUGGUCUUGCUGAAGGUGAAAAUCCGGCGGAUGAAAAGAAUCUUGGUGGCUUGACGAAAAUGCCUUUAGGGAACAGCAAAGAUUCAGAAGAAAGCAAAGAGGGAAAUGAAGAUGAACCUAAAUCGAACCUGGAUAAUGUUUUACCAGGAAAACCAGA